This 89-nucleotide transfer RNA is filed under the name Melghirimyces algeriensis. Its description in RNAcentral is "Thermoactinomycetaceae bacterium NariEX tRNA". It matches the Rfam family "tRNA". Rfam says of the family: Transfer RNA (tRNA) molecules are approximately 80 nucleotides in length. The record is from Rfam by way of RNAcentral. Lineage: Bacteria; Bacillati; Bacillota; Bacilli; Caryophanales; Thermoactinomycetaceae.
GGAGAGGUGUCCGAGAGGCCGAAGGAGCACGAUUGGAAAUCGUGUAGGCGGCUAUCACCGUCUCGAGGGUUCGAAUCCCUCCCUCUCCG